CCCCAAAUUUCCCCCCUUGAAAUCCCUAAUCUUCCCAUGGCCGACAAAUAUUUUCUAUGAGAAAAUAUUUGAUUCUCCCUCCAUCUUCCAAUCUUUUUAGUUCCCUUCCCAUUACAAAUCAGUUUUCCAUUCCAAACCCUAACAAACGUUUAACAAAAAAGCACCCCUUCUUCAUCGUUUUCUCUACUUAUUGAAACUUCUUCAUCACUUUCUGAGCUCUGCAACAGCAAUGAACGACUACGAUUACAACAAGGAAACCAAGGGAGUGGGCCCUGUUUCAUUCAACUACAUUUUUUAUUUUAUCUUUUCACCUGAAGAAGUUGUUCAUCUUAAAGUUACCGCUAAUAUAAUUUAACACCAAUUGCAGUGGCGGCUUCCAAUCAGGGAAACACCCGCAUGUUUAAAAGAUUCCUUGUUCGAUGCUCAAAACCCAGACGGCCAAUAUAAUUAUUAACUCCACUCGAAGCGAAAUAUGGUAAUGGUUUGCUAUUAUAAUCACUUACUGACGCCUGUUGGUGGGGUACGAGUUCCGAUUGCCAAGCCUUCCAUUUUGAGAGCCGAGACCAACAACCCCAUGGCUUCUGAUCUCUCCUCUGACCGCUUCGUCUUCUGUGGCGUCUCCUCCUCUUCUCCUAUCCGCUGCCGUGAUCUAGUUUUCAUCAUCAAUCCUUGAGGGGAUUUGGAGGAGCAGGUGCUAAUGGGAGAACCGGUAAAGAGUGGAAGAAACUGCUUCCUUAUCUUCAAUCUUGCCUCGGUAGUAAUUGUAAUAUAUGUGAAUCUUUGACUUCGGGUCCUUCUCAUGCAACUGACAUUACUAGGGAGUUUCACCCCACAAGUUGAAGGAAUGUUUGCCACUUAUUCUUAUUCUGCGAAACAAACUGGAGUAUGCUUUGACAUACAAAGAAGUGAUUGCUAUUCUUAUGCAAAGGCAUGUAUGGUAGAUGGGAAGGUUAGGAUUGAUAAGACCUACCCUGCAGGUUUUAUGGGGCGCACAUGGUUUCAUGAGGACACAUAAAUGGCGUGAUUCCAUAGGAGCUUUUAUAAAUGUGGAAGCAUCUGGGACAGGAGGUCCUGGUUCUUGGCCUUCUUCCGUCUAUGCUCAAUCAGCAAUUUAUCCCAUGGCACAUAGUGUAGCCCAGGGAAGAGAAUUAAUCAUUGCAGAGAAAAUAAAUUAUCUGGUUUUUAUGAUCAAUGCUUUUCAGAUGGGGGUUGGAGAAUACGAUCAAAGGGAAAACAUCAGAUAUGGUGAUUCCCAGCCAAGAAGUGGCUUCUUAGGCACCCAACAUUUUGCACAACCAAAUAUGACCAGAACUUCUAAACCUACAUGUUGAGGAUUCACACUCAAGGAGCAAGAAACAUCUCAGCAACUCAUUGGGAUCGAGCAGUCAAAAUUCAGAAUCAAGUGACACACAAGAGCUAGAUUUGGAGCUUAGACUGUCACUGUAAUCAGUAACUUUUUUUGCUACUUUAAAUGCAUGCUCAUGGAACUACAUUUUAUGCUUUCUUAGAAUCGUAAGUUCAAAUAAGGUGUUGAUCUGCAAUUUAUACAUGCAACUUGAGCAAGUUGAUAUGAACUAGUUUAAUUUUUUUUUAAAUUUCAAAGGAAUCUUAUGUAAUCAAAGGCAAUUUGACUUGCUGCAUGAGAUAUAGUGAAAAACAUUGAUCUUCUUGUU
Molecule: RNA transcript, 1673 nt
Organism: Gossypium raimondii (Peruvian cotton)
Lineage: Eukaryota; Viridiplantae; Streptophyta; Magnoliopsida; Malvales; Malvaceae
Exons: 8
Source: RefSeq, a predicted model, not a curated record